UUCCAGUGCGGAUACAGAACCACGGCAUCACAAAAUAGUAUGAGUAGCUCCAGAAGAUGCGGACAAGCAUCGCAAGCAAGAAAUUACCAUUCAAAGUAAGUCUUCAGACUGGGGCGGAUGGCCUGUCUGGGACACGUUUGCAAACAGGGAGCAUCACCACUGAUGUGUACAAGACUUGCAAGGACGGUCAAAUCGAAUUUAAGGAAGGGUGGAAGGAGUUUCUGUUCGAGUAGGACCUUAGUGUUGGCGAUGGUGUGCUGGUCACUAUCAGGCGCAGCGCAUUUUGAGGAAUUCAAAAUGAUUAUGAUCAUUAACAAGAUCUGAGAGUUGCUCCAGUUUAGUCAGGAGGCCGCGUGCACUCGACUUAUUUCAUCGUUAUAGUUUUCUGUGAGUUGAACAAUCUGUAUUUCAGUUUUGGGAAAAACUAAUGGGAAGCGCCGCACCGUGCCCACCCCAUGCCGCGGCACGUUACGAUACACGCACGCGAUCGUGCGGUUAGGCAGCGUCGCACCGACCGUCCACCGUUUUUAGCUCAGGAGCGGGGGGAACUGUUCAAAUUUUGUGCGCUUUUUUUUUGCUUUUCAAUUUCUGUUUUCUUUCUUUUUCACACUCUCCAAAUAUGUCAUAUCAUUUUUUCCUAGCAGCAAAUUUAUUUCCUGAAUAACAAGUUAUUUUUGUAUGCUUUCCACAAAUAUGCAGCGUGAUCAUCAUCAAAUAUGAAAAAAGCUGGGUGUAUACAUGGGAUUUCGCUGAUUUAAGCUACAUCACACGAGAGUUGUCUGCUAAUUGUGCCGAAGUUGGGAUAGAGUAUCUGCAGGCAACCAACAAAGUUGAGGGCAAGUUGAUACUCUCACACUUCGUGUCCAAGUUCUUGUUGCAAGACGAGCAUAAUAAGAAGAUAGUCACAAACAUUUUCGAAAGGAAGAAGGACUUUGCUCUUACCUGUCAGAACUUAAUCAUGUUUCCUGUUAUUGAAGAAACUGGAGUGAAUGAAGUGUGAGGACAUCACUGAUACGUUCUAUGCAUCAAUAAUACUGCUCAAAGGUUUGAGGCAUUAGAUUCACUAUGCAACAAAACAAAUAUGGAUCUUACCUGUCACGCAACCGUUGUAAUGAAAAGAAUUAAGGAAGCAUGGAAGCUAUAUUAUUAUAAGUCCAGGGUUCAGAUUAAAAACUACGAACUCGAGAUCAUUGAUGUUCCCAAGCAGGCCACAAAGAGUGUGCACUGCGGCCUCUAUAUGCUGGAGUAUCUUCAUAAGUGGGAUGGUGUGAAUGUGUCUAAAAUUCGGAAAGAGGACGUCCAAAAAAUAAAGAAGAAAACAGCCAACAAGUGGCUCAACGCUCCUUUCAACAAAAACCAAAAGUGGAAAUGGCAUCUCGACAACAACUCUGCGUGAGGAAUUGGGAAAGCAAACCAGAUGUUGAAGAUCCAGAGGGAGAAAGAGAGGUGCAGAUAUGAGGGGGCAGAAAAGUUAGGUGCUGUUUUGGGGGUAGAAACAAGAGAUUUUUCUGUAGGAUUUAUGUGUUUUGUGCAAAAACUGAGGGGCAGUAAUUUGUAAUGUAGAUUCAUAUUUGGAGUUCUUGCAACGAUCCUGGGAUGGGGCACUUUCGUACCUUUAUUUUUGCUGUUUGGAUCACUUUGGACCACUUCAGAUUUCACCUCUUUUUGUUGCUUGUGUUUGUUAUUCCUUCCUAUAUUUCUAGAUCUCCUGUGUUUAUGCCAAUGGACAAUUGGGGAGGGAGAGGGAGGAAGAAGACGGGGGUGGGA
Molecule: long non-coding RNA, 1767 nt
Organism: Hordeum vulgare subsp. vulgare (domesticated barley)
Lineage: Eukaryota; Viridiplantae; Streptophyta; Magnoliopsida; Poales; Poaceae
Exons: 5
Source: RefSeq, a predicted model, not a curated record